UGCAGUCGAGCGGAUGAGAAGAGCUUGCUCUUCGAUUCAGCGGCGGACGGGUGAGUAAUGCCUAGGAAUCUGCCUGGUAGUGGGGGACAACGUUUCGAAAGGAACGCUAAUACCGCAUACGUCCUACGGGAGAAAGCAGGGUACCUUCGGGCCUUGCGCUAUCAGAUGAGCCUAGGUCGGAUUAGCUAGUUGGUGAGGUAAUGGCUCACCAAGGCGACGAUCCGUAACUGGUCUGAGAGGAUGAUCA
This 247-nucleotide ribosomal RNA is filed under the name Pseudomonas sp. RNAcentral's name for it is "partial 16S ribosomal RNA". It matches the Rfam family "Bacterial small subunit ribosomal RNA", at positions 60 to 306 of the family's 1533-position model. Lineage: Bacteria; Pseudomonadati; Pseudomonadota; Gammaproteobacteria; Pseudomonadales; Pseudomonadaceae. The record is from RNAcentral.